This 591-nucleotide ribosomal RNA is filed under the name Triticum aestivum (bread wheat). RNAcentral describes it as "partial small subunit ribosomal RNA". Lineage: Eukaryota; Viridiplantae; Streptophyta; Magnoliopsida; Poales; Poaceae. The record is from RNAcentral.
AUGAUUUGGCAGGUUAAGAGCUCAGCUUUGGAGUAUAAAGAAUUCUUUUGGAGAGAGGAACACUCGGCUGUGCAGAGAAUAGAGACAUGGAAGAAACUAAGUGAGGGCACUCUGAAGAUAAAUAUUGAUGGCAGUUUUAACAAGGAAUCAGGAACGGGCGGUUGGGGAUAUGUUAUCCGAGACCAUGAUGGUGAUGUCGUAGUUGCCGCUGCUGGUCGUUUACUUCAUGCACUGGAUGCGCUACAGACUUAAGCUGAAGCUUGCAUUCAAGCAUUGUACAAGGCGCAGGAAUUAGGUAUUAGCCGAGCUAUGGUGGAAACGGAUGCGUUGCUGCUUGUCCAGGCGAUCGAGACGUCAAGUUAUGAUCUUUCUUCUAAUGGGGUUUUGUUUAGGGAAAUAUAAGCAUUUACAUCUCUGAACUUUAGUUCUUUUUCAAUUUCUUAUUGCCCUCGGGCUUGUAAUAAGGUUGCAGACGUUUUAGUGUUGCAUGGGUCGAAGAUGGUGCUUCCACCCCAAGCUGUAUGGGCGGGUCUGGCCCCUAUCUUUGCCCACGUUUUCGUAGCCAGCGUUUCUGCUCGGCACGUUGAUUAA